RNAcentral lists this long non-coding RNA (215 nucleotides) under Elaeis guineensis (African oil palm). RNAcentral describes it as "long non-coding RNA (EGUI_LNC074765)". Lineage: Eukaryota; Viridiplantae; Streptophyta; Magnoliopsida; Arecales; Arecaceae. The record is from RNAcentral.
CUGAACUUGAGUGGUCAAUCUCAUCUUGACACACGCACUGACAAGUCAAGUACUUGACUACACCCAGCAGCCUUCCGUCACUGAAUUAGAAAUUCAGGUAGUCCAGUGCCUAAGUGCAGUGAGUUGCUUGCAAGUCACCAUGACGGUCUCAGGUUGGAGGGAUAGUUAUACCCAUAUCCCAUCGGAGCAAAUUUUGAUAGCAGAAAUAUCUCCAG